This 451-nucleotide ribosomal RNA is filed under the name uncultured bacterium. RNAcentral describes it as "partial 16S ribosomal RNA". It matches the Rfam family "Bacterial small subunit ribosomal RNA", at positions 354 to 796 of the family's 1533-position model. The record is from RNAcentral.
GUGGGGAAUAUUGGACAAUGGGGGGAACCCUGAUCCAGCCAUGCCGCGUGUGUGAAGAAGGCCUUUUGGUUGUAAAGCACUUUAAGCGAGGAGGAGGCUACCGAGAUUAAUACUCUUGGAUAGUGGACGUUACUCGCAGAAUAAGCACCGGCUAACUCUGUGCCAGCAGCCGCGGUAAUACAGAGGGUGCAAGCGUUAAUCGGAUUUACGGGGCAUAAAGCGCGAGUAGGUGGCCAAUUAAGUCAAAUGUGAAAUCCCCGAGCUUAACUUGGGAAUUGCAUUCGAUACUGGUUGGCUAGAGUAUGGGAGAGGAUGGUAGAAUUCCAGGUGUAGCGGUGAAAUGCGUAGAGAUCUGGAGGAAUACCGAUGGCGAAGGCAGCCAUCUGGCCUAAUACUGACACUGAGGUGCGAAAGCAUGGGGAGCAAACAGGAUUAGAUACCCGGGUAGUCC